RNAcentral lists this ribosomal RNA (1327 nucleotides) under Blastococcus sp. BMG 813. Its description in RNAcentral is "bacterial SSU rRNA". It matches the Rfam family "Bacterial small subunit ribosomal RNA", at positions 34 to 1374 of the family's 1533-position model. Lineage: Bacteria; Bacillati; Actinomycetota; Actinomycetes; Geodermatophilales; Geodermatophilaceae. The record is from RNAcentral.
CGCUGGCGGCGUGCUUAACACAUGCAAGUCGAACGGUGAACCUGCUUCGGUGGGGGAUCAGUGGCGAACGGGUGAGUAACACGUGGGCAACCUGCCCUCAGCUCUGGGAUAACUCCAAGAAAUUGGGGCUAAUACCGGAUAUGACCGCUGACCGCAUGGUCUGGUGGUGGAAAGAUUUAUCGGCUGGGGAUGGGCCCGCGGCCUAUCAGCUUGUUGGUGGGGUAGUGGCCUACCAAGGCGACGACGGGUAGCCGGCCUGAGAGGGUGACCGGCCACACUGGGACUGAGACACGGCCCAGACUCCUACGGGAGGCAGCAGUGGGGAAUAUUGCGCAAUGGGCGAAAGCCUGACGCAGCGACGCCGCGUGGGGGAUGACGGCCUUCGGGUUGUAAACCUCUUUCAGCAGGGACGAAGCGAAAGUGACGGUACCUGCAGAAGAAGCACCGGCCAACUACGUGCCAGCAGCCGCGGUAAUACGUAGGGUGCAAGCGUUGUCCGGAAUUAUUGGGCGUAAAGAGCUCGUAGGCGGUUCGUCGCGUCGGCUGUGAAAUCCCGAGGCUCAACCUCGGGCCUGCAGUCGAUACGGGCGGACUUGAGUUCGGCAGGGGAGACUGGAAUUCCUGGUGUAGCGGUGAAAUGCGCAGAUAUCAGGAGGAACACCGGUGGCGAAGGCGGGUCUCUGGGCCGAAACUGACGCUGAGGAGCGAAAGCGUGGGGAGCGAACAGGAUUAGAUACCCUGGUAGUCCACGCCGUAAACGUUGGGCGCUAGGUGUGGGGCUCAUUCCACGAGUUCCGUGCCGCAGCUAACGCAUUAAGCGCCCCGCCUGGGGAGUACGGCCGCAAGGCUAAAACUCAAAGGAAUUGACGGGGGCCCGCACAAGCGGCGGAGCAUGUUGCUUAAUUCGAUGCAACGCGAAGAACCUUACCUAGGCUUGACAUGCACGGAAAUCCUCCAGAGAUGGUGGGUCCGUAAGGGCCGUGCACAGGUGGUGCAUGGUUGUCGUCAGCUCGUGUCGUGAGAUGUUGGGUUAAGUCCCGCAACGAGCGCAACCCUCGUUCUAUGUUGCCAGCACGUGAUGGUGGGGACUCAUAGGAGACUGCCGGGGUCAACUCGGAGGAAGGUGGGGGAUGACGUCAAAUCAUCAUGCCCCUUAUGUCUAGGGCUGCAAACAUGCUACAAUGGCCGGUACAAAGGGCUGCGAUACCGUGAGGUGGAGCGAAUCCCAAAAAGCCGGUCUCAGUUCGGAUUGGGGUCUGCAACUCGACCCCAUGAAGUUGGAGUCGCUAGUAAUCGCAGAUCAGCAACGCUGCGGUGAAUACGUUCC